UGGCGGUUUUUUUUUAUUAUUAUUUUUUUUAGCUCGCACAUCAGCGCUGCUCCGGGAAGCCAUGCCUGCCGGCCGGCUCGCCCAAGGAGGGAGAGCGGGGCGGCGCCGCAGGACCCCAGCCCGCGGCAAAACGGCGGCGCCCUUCUCCGGAGCGGGAGCCGCGCAGGCUCUAUACCUGGCUGGGAACCGAGGGCGGAAGUGGCGUCAGGGCGUGCCUCCACUGAGGGCUGAAACACACUGUGAUUGGCUGGGAACCCGAGGGCGGAAGUGGCGUCAGGCCCUGCCUUAACUGAGGGCGGAAACACUCCGUGACUGGUUGGCAAUCCGGGGCGGCAGUGGCGUCAGGCCGUGCCUUCAAUCAGGGUGGAGACACUCCGUGAUUGGCUGGGAACCCAGGGCGGAAGUGGCGUCACGGCGUGCCUUCACUGAGGGUGCAAACACUCAGGGAUUGGCUGGGAACCGAGGGCAGAAGUGCCGUGCAGGGCUUGCCGGCACUGAGGGCGGAAGUGGCCGAGCCGGCCGGGAUCGGCUCGGGACCUGACGGGCCGGGCCGAGAUGCCGAGGCGUGGGCAGAGGCAGCUCCCCGCCGCUAGGACCCCUGCGGGGUUUGUUGCCGAGCGAAGGUGACGCACCGGCUACGCCGAGGAAAGCUGCAGCUGGCGUGCUGCAGCCGCGGGUUUCCCAGGAGAAAGAGCAGCCCGACUGUCCCAGCUGUCCAGCUUUCAGAGUUGUCCUAGAAAUAAACCGGUGCUUGCGGGCUUUCCAGAACGCUGGUUGUGGUCGGUCAAGACAGACGUGAGAGGCAAUUUCUUUCUGUCUGUCUGUCUAUUGGUUAUGUCCCAAGAGUUGUGCUUGAACUGUGUGCAAUAAAAGAGGCCUUGGGCCCGUACUGAGCAGCAAGAGAAAGCAAAACUCCAGGUAAGCGCUGGCCGUGGCAAAGUUGCUUGGGAAUUGAGCGGCUGGGGGUCUUUCCAGCAGAACUCGGUACGCAGACAGAAACGUGACCUUCGAGGUCCCUGUCUGUCUUGCGUUGAAGCUGUGGUAUUUGACCCCUAACUGUAUGGAGUUGCUAAAUCCUAGAGGGGAUGAUAGAGACGUCCCUGGUUCAGCCUUUUUUGCCACAGUCGUUGCAGAAAUUUUGGAAAAGUGAGUAUUAUCCCUCUCUUUAAAUUCACCUUUUAAAGUAUUCUUUCUGCAAACUCCUGUCUGUGGUUUAGGUACUUGAUUUGCGUGAAACAGAGCCAGACUUUCCUAUUAAGUAGUGCCCCGAUUGAAAUUCCCUGUCGUUGGAGAACAAGAACUAUAAAUGGUGCUUGGCAAUUUAAAAUCUCUUGGCUUCUACGAAGGCUAACUUGCCAAAGCGAGUAGGAAGUAGCCUAAAGUUCAGUAAAGACGCUGAAUAGAAAAGGUCCUCUUCUUGAUGGGAAAAGAGCUUCGCAGAACAUGAGCUCUGUUUCCCGUAGGGCUCCCUGCUUACCCACCCGUUCAGCGAUUAUUGCAGGCUUUGACUGGUCCCCUCAGGUCCAAUAUCGCACAAGCGUUGUGCCGCAGAUGGUACCUUAGCUUACUUUCCAUCUCGUGCUGCGUUACUUAUACCCGCAGAAGACUUACUUCAGCGUCGAAUAAACCCCGUGCGAAGUGACCCCGACUCAUGCCAGUGGGACCAUCGCAUUGUGGCUGGUAAAAUCCAGGAACAGGACGAUGCUUGGAAGAACGUAACCUAUGGAGGAGCAGGCAACAGUCUCCUGUUAGGCAACAGGUUUUCGAGACUGGUUUCCCUACCCCCCUGUGCAUUUUGAAGGAGGCAGUCCCUAGGCUGAUGCAAUCCAACUGCAUCUAAGCUGUAGGUUGUUACUUCCAUAAACUAUAAAGGAACUUAACGUGUUUUUUUGUUUUGUUUUGUUUUUUGUUUUUUUUUGUUUUAAAUCGAGGCUCGUGUGCGUCCGUUUGCCUUGUCCCGAUGGCUGGUGCAGAUGAUCGCUCACGUGCCCCAAAGCUCCUUGUGCUGAUGUUGGAUGUGCCCCUCGGCAAAGGACCGCAUCCCGUGUGUUCAGCUUUUCUUCCUUACCGUGUCGUAUGUAUGUAUGUAUUUAUUUACUUUUCUCAAAGAAAGGGUGGAUUUUUCAUGGGUUUCUCUGUGAGCGUAUCGAACCAGGCCGCAGUAAAUACGCGUAAGCGAGUAGGCUGCAGCGCGUACUGGACGGUAUCAGAGCGCUACCCUGCUAGCAGUGGAGAGCCAGGUGAAGGUGUCUAGGGUAAGGGCUUGUUCUGCCUCAAGUUGAACGGAAAGUUUCUGAAGUUGAGCAUCCCAGGGGAUGUUUGUAGGACUGUUGUUUUGUUAGACGAUAAAAGUUCAGAUGGCUGUCGAUGAAGGGGAUUUUGUUGGCUCUUUUAGAUAGCUGUUCCUACCGAAGAUCGCAUCGGUUACAAAAGGUAAUAGUAACCUUGCGGUCUCUACGUUCUGUAGCAUCUGUAGCAAAAUAAACUGGCAGAUGAAUAAAUGAGCAGGUACAAAUACACGUGACUCUAUAGCUGAGAUUAAAUAACGUGCAGUUUCUUCUGUGUUUUGUCUUUCAAAGCACAUUGUUGCCGAGCGCCUGAGCUUUUUGCUCACGUUACCGGGGAGAGGAAUGGCUGCGCUUCUUCCCCCCUCAUCCCUCUCUUUUUUUUUUCUCUCCUCUUUUCCUCAAGGAAAUGUUUUCCUUGGAUGUCCA
RNA transcript from Cygnus olor (mute swan), 2714 nucleotides. RefSeq lists it as uncharacterized. NCBI's taxonomy places the organism in Eukaryota, Metazoa, Chordata, Aves, Anseriformes, Anatidae. The record is from RefSeq and is a predicted model, not a curated record. The transcript is spliced from 3 exons.